This 460-nucleotide ribosomal RNA is filed under the name uncultured bacterium. RNAcentral's name for it is "partial 16S ribosomal RNA". It matches the Rfam family "Bacterial small subunit ribosomal RNA", at positions 338 to 795 of the family's 1533-position model. The record is from RNAcentral.
CCUACGGGCGGCAGCAGUGAGGAAUAUUGGUCAAUGGACGCGAGCCUGAACCAGCCAAGUAGCGUGAGGGAUGACUGUCCUAUGAGUUGUAAACUGCUUUUAUAAAAGGAUAAAACGAGAUACGUGUGUCGGGUUGCAUGUAUCGUAUGAAUAAGGAUCGGCUAACUCCGUGCCAGCAGCCGCGGUAAUACGGAGGAUUCGAGCGUUAUCCGGAUUUAUUGGGUUUAAAGGGUGCGUAGACGGUUCGUUAAGUCAGUUGUGAAAGCUUGGGGCUCAACCGUGGAAUUGCCAUUGAUACUGGCAGUCUUGAGUUCAGUUGCGGUAGGCGGAAUUCAUGGUGUAGCGGUGAAAUGCUUAGAUAUCACACAGAACACCGAUUGCGAAGGCAGCUUACUAAACUACGACUGACAUUGAUGCACGAAAGUGUGGGGAUCAAACAGGAUUAGAUACCCGUGUAGUC